CCGUCAGCAACCUUUCUGCCUCAACCAUGCGUUAUUCGCUUCACCGGACCACCACCAAGCCGCCGCAGCUCGCAACAAUCAACACAGCCAAACCGCCACCAUCUUCCUCUUAUCUAAGGCCAAUCACCAUCAACCUAGAAUCGUAUGAGACCAUCACCGAACAGAGACGCCAUUCUCCACCCUCGCACCUGCCAGAGAAAACCCAACAGCAC
This 212-nucleotide long non-coding RNA is filed under the name Vigna radiata. RNAcentral describes it as "long non-coding RNA (VRAD_LNC008873)". Lineage: Eukaryota; Viridiplantae; Streptophyta; Magnoliopsida; Fabales; Fabaceae. The record is from RNAcentral.